Molecule: ribosomal RNA, 502 nt
Filed under: uncultured bacterium
Lineage: Bacteria
Description: partial 16S ribosomal RNA
Rfam family: Bacterial small subunit ribosomal RNA
Source: RNAcentral
GACGAGCGCUGGCGGCGUGCCUAAUACAUGCAAGUCGAACGAACCGCGACUAAGUGCUUGCACUAAGUCAAGGUGAGUGGCGAACGGGUGAGUAACACGUGGGUAACCUACCUCAUAGUGGGGGAUAACAGUCGGAAACGACUGCUAAUACCGCAUAGGACAUAGGAUCACAUGAUCCAGUGAGGAAAGGUGGCGCAAGCUAUCGCUAAGAGAUGGACCCGCGGUGCAUUAGCUAGUUGGUAGGGUAAAGGCCUACCAAGGCGAUGAUGCAUAGCCGACCUGAGAGGGUGAUCGGCCACAUUGGGACUGAGACACGGCCCAAACUCCUACGGGAGGCAGCAGUAGGGAAUCUUCCGCAAUGGACGCAAGUCUGACGGAGCAACGCCGCGUGAGUGAAGAAGGUCUUCGGAUCGUAAAGCUCUGUUGUUAGAGAAGAACAGCGCAUAGAGUAACUGCUAUGCGUGUGACGGUAACUAACCAGAAAGCCACGGCUAACUACGUG